CGAUGUUUGGCAUCGAUCUUAGAGCUCAAAAUUUCAAAAUUGGGGUAGAUUUAAUUGAGGAAAAAUUGUAUCAAUAUAUUAAAGGAGAUGAUGCAAAUUAUUAAUGCAAAAAUAAGAAGAAGAAGAUGGUAAACGUAGAGGUGUAGGCAACGGCAACAAUGGAGGAAAAGGGGAAAAGAAAAAAAAUAAAGGUGAAGGGAGGGAGAGGGGUUAGAGAUGGCUAAGGUAGAAGAAAAAUGGUUAAAAGGCUG
Molecule: long non-coding RNA, 251 nt
Filed under: Gossypium barbadense (sea-island cotton)
Lineage: Eukaryota; Viridiplantae; Streptophyta; Magnoliopsida; Malvales; Malvaceae
Description: long non-coding RNA (GBAR_LNC019968)
Source: RNAcentral